RNAcentral lists this long non-coding RNA (254 nucleotides) under Nicotiana benthamiana. Its description in RNAcentral is "long non-coding RNA (NBEN_LNC042377)". Lineage: Eukaryota; Viridiplantae; Streptophyta; Magnoliopsida; Solanales; Solanaceae. The record is from RNAcentral.
CAAGGUUCACAAGAGGGGGCGAAACUUAGAGACUAAGAGAGAGUGCAAGUGCAGAAGUAGAAUUUUGAGAGGGGAAAAGGGAAAGGAGAGGGAGAUAAGUACACAUAAGGGGUUCAAGGGGGAUAGGAAAUUUGAAAGAGCAAGGACAGGCUGUGGGCAUGCCCAGCAAUGGAGAAUUCUAAAAUACCCAUAAGCCUGUUAGAACACACUAUUAGAGGCUAGGAUCCCAAGGGAUCAUGUUUAAUUCAUGGAAU